AACUUUCGACAAUGGAUCACUUGGCUCUCGCAUCGAUGAAGAACGCAGCGAAAUGCGAUAAGUAAUGUGAAUUACAGAAUUCAGUGAAUCAUCGAAUCUUUGAACGCAUCUUGCGCUCCAUGGUAUUCCGUGGAGCAUGCCUGUUUGAGUGUCAUUCAAGUUCUCAACCACAACUGGAUUCUUUUUUCUGUUGUGGCUUGGAUUGGUGGGGGAUUUGCUGGCUUUCACAAGUCUGCUCCCCUGAAAUGCAUUAGUGGUAUGAGCUACUACGUGGUGUGAUAAAUUUAUCUAUGCCCUGCUAGUGUGCAGCUGUAUACUGCUUCUAACAAAAACCUUAUUUGUUUGAUGAAUUUGACCUCAAAUCAGGUAGGACUACCCGCUGAACUUAAGCAUAUCAAUAAGCGGAGGCU
This 410-nucleotide unclassified non-coding RNA is filed under the name uncultured Inocybe. RNAcentral's name for it is "sequence contains ITS2". The stretch from base 1 to 154 matches the Rfam family "5.8S ribosomal RNA". Lineage: Eukaryota; Fungi; Basidiomycota; Agaricomycetes; Agaricales; Cortinariaceae. The record is from RNAcentral.